This 310-nucleotide ribosomal RNA is filed under the name uncultured bacterium. RNAcentral describes it as "partial 16S ribosomal RNA". It matches the Rfam family "Bacterial small subunit ribosomal RNA", at positions 503 to 808 of the family's 1533-position model. The record is from RNAcentral.
AAGAGACAGCAGCCGCCACGGUAAUACGGAGGGGGCAAGCGUUAUCCGGAAUUAUUGGGCGUAAAGGGUACGUAGGUGGCCUUUUAAGCGUAGGGUAUAAGGCAAUGGCUCAACCAUUGUUCGCCCUAUGAACUGGAAGGCUUGAGUGCAGGAGAGGAAAGCGGAAUUCCUAGUGUAGCGGUGGAAUGCAUAGAUAUUAGGAGGAACAUCAGCGGCGAAGGCGGCUUUCUGGACUGCAACUGACACUGAGGUACGAAAGCGUGGGGAGCAAACAGGAUUAGAUACCCCCGUAGUCCCUGUCUCUUAUACC